AUUGUUUAAUCAUUUCAGGCUGAGGGAAAGGUGUGCAUCCACAAAAGGCCAAAGCCACCAGCUGCAACAAUCCCCAGCUGAGUUUGGGGUGAGGGAAGAGCACAGCUCACAGAAGCCAGGUUUGCACACACUCCCCCCAACCGAGGGGGGAGGAGGAGGUUUUGGGUGCAUGGUGCAACCUCUGCUGAGAGGCAAUAAACAUCCAUCCUCUGAUUACACAAACCGGCCCAGCUGUGGAACCCCCAACCCCACAGGCCACAUCCAUG
Long non-coding RNA from Corvus hawaiiensis (hawaiian crow), 266 nucleotides. RefSeq lists it as uncharacterized. The record is from RefSeq and is a predicted model, not a curated record. The transcript has 3 exons. Lineage: Eukaryota; Metazoa; Chordata; Aves; Passeriformes; Corvidae.